UGUCUGAGGUCAGAUUUAAAGACAAGAACACUUGUCUCCAGACAUGAUGCUCUAUCCACUGAACCACCUAGCUGUCUUUACAACAAACUUAAUUUAUUUUUGGAAAUUUUUAUUUAGUUAAUUAAUUUAGAAUAUUUUUCUAUGGUUACAAGAUUCAUGUUUUUUCCCUUCCCUCCUCCCAUCCCCUCCCAUAGCCGACGUACAAUUCCAUUGGAUUUUAUACAUGUCAUUGAUCAAGACCCAUUUCCAUAUUGUACAACAAACUUUUAAACAUUGUUUGGAACUUUAAGUUUUCUUUCCAGAGAACAGACUACAACACAUAUCAAAAAAGGAAUACUAUAAAAGAAUCACAUCCAAUCAAUUAAUCAAUAAGUAUUUAUUAAAUUCCUUCUAUACAGAGGCUAUCAAUGAAAGGAUAUCAAUGAAAAGAAUGAAACAAUCUCAACUCAGAAUUGAUGCCAAAGAAAAAUGUAAGAUGUACUGAUCACACAGUGAGAAUGAGAAUUAACUGUUAAAUAGCUCAUGUGUGGAAUCUUCCAGUGUCAAAAGAACAUGAAGAAAGUACCUAGCACUUUAGGUGAACCGAGGGAGGAAGAGGUUUCAAUGAAUCCUCCACAGAGCUACCAGGUCAAUAAUAUGAAAAACCAAAGCUGAACACACCAUUUCCCAUUUCAAGAAACUUCAAUGACUCACUUUUGUAUCUAUGUUAAAAUAUAAAAUCCUCUUUAGCAUGUAAAGUUAUUUAUAUUCUGUAUCCAACUUAUACUGCCAUACUAAUUUCACAUUUUUACUCCUCCUUCUUGUUUAGUCAUUUCCAUCACAUCUAACUCUGUGACUCCAUUUGUUUGUUUGUUUGGCAAGGACACUGGAGUGGUUUACCAUUUCCUUGUCCAUCUCAUUUUACAUAUGUGAAAAAUAAGGUAAACAGGGUGAAGUGAUUUGCUGAGGGUCAUAAGUGUCUAAGCUAGAUAUGAAUUUGAAGAUCAUUUCUAUGACUCCAGGCCAGGGACUUUAUCCAACAGGCUACCACGCUGAUCUUCGUUC
Molecule: long non-coding RNA, 1044 nt
Filed under: Monodelphis domestica (gray short-tailed opossum)
Lineage: Eukaryota; Metazoa; Chordata; Mammalia; Didelphimorphia; Didelphidae
Description: lncRNA (ENSMODG00000049457.1)
Source: RNAcentral